CUCUUCUAAUGGUGUUUCGUAUUUUAUUUUUUCCUUUUUCCUGAUUUUGUUAUCUGAUCCCGGUAUGUUGUUGUUUUGUAGGUAUCCCUAAACGUUGAUCGGUAUUGUAAAUGCUUAAUGUCAUUUGAAUGAUAAGAUGGAUGGCGACUUUAAAGUCAUAAGAAAAAUCUUUUGAUGCACCACUGUAAGCGCAGUACUUGAUCGUGAUGAAAUCAUUUUUUAAAAUGUUGCAACCGCAAUUUUUGGUCGGGAUGGAAUCGUUUUUAUUUUCCAGCUUCGAUUAAAAAAGAAGAUGACUGGCAAAGAUAAGGAUUUCAAUUUUCAGAUAUAUGGCAACUUCUGAUUUGUUGAAUGAGUUGUCUAAAGACGGAUAUAAAACGGAUCAUGAUCUAGAGUUGAAGAUUUCGAUGACCGUUCAAUAGAGAAAUAAAAGGAAAUCCCUCAAAAAGUUUGCAUCCUUCCAUAGUUUUGUUAGCAUUUUUGUUCAAUUUUCACUUAGUCAUAGAAUAAUACAA
Long non-coding RNA from Papaver somniferum (opium poppy), 515 nucleotides. RefSeq lists it as uncharacterized. The record is from RefSeq and is a predicted model, not a curated record. The transcript is spliced from 3 exons. Lineage: Eukaryota; Viridiplantae; Streptophyta; Magnoliopsida; Ranunculales; Papaveraceae.